This is a long non-coding RNA of Alnus glutinosa, 611 nucleotides long. RefSeq lists it as uncharacterized. The record is from RefSeq and is a predicted model, not a curated record. The transcript is spliced from 2 exons. NCBI's taxonomy places the organism in Eukaryota, Viridiplantae, Streptophyta, Magnoliopsida, Fagales, Betulaceae.
UACAAUAAAUAUGAAAACACCAAAUCCUUUUAGUUUGUCUUGCUCAUUCAACACUUUAAAAGUUAAAACCCACUUAACAGAAACCACUAGAGCCAUUUACACCUGCCUCCUCCUUCGCUAAACGCCGCCGCCGAAAUUAGCCAAAGGCAACCGCACCGCCCUGCCGGUCUAGGCAUGAUUUACUCGUGAUUUCUUUUUCUUACGGCCUUUUCUUCCACUGCAAGUAAACCCAUUUUCACUCUCCCCCCCUGUACGACCCAUUUGGUUGUCCGUGUAUUAUCUUUUGUUGCCUUAAUAUGAAGAUGGACAAGAAUCCAAGCAGGGCAAUUUCUUUGUUCUGGGCCGCGAUAAAUGCUGGGGACCGGGUCGAUAGUGCCUUGAAACAUGUCAAUUGUGAUGAGAUAAUCGGAUCCAUCUGAUGAAGCAAUUGAGGCUCUUAAAUCUUUCAUGGCUUUGGUUCUCUAUUAAUGCAGUAUACUAGGGAAACUUGGCCUGAAUAGUAGUUUUGUUGGAAUUUCACUUUGAUCCAAGACUAGUUGAAUGAAAUUUGUUGAAGGAAUUUUGUUUGGAUUGUCUUAAUGUUUUAUCAAUGAUGGGAAUCUCAUUUCGCC